Molecule: ribosomal RNA, 252 nt
Filed under: uncultured Bacteroidales bacterium
Lineage: Bacteria; Pseudomonadati; Bacteroidota; Bacteroidia; Bacteroidales
Description: partial 16S ribosomal RNA
Rfam family: Bacterial small subunit ribosomal RNA
Source: RNAcentral
UACGGAGGAUGCGAGCGUUAUCCGGAUUUAUUGGGUUUAAAGGGUGCGUAGGUUGUUUUUUAAGUCAGCGGUGAAAGUUUGUGGCUCAACCCCGACAAGCCGUUGAAACUGGCUUGCUAGAGUGGGCGAGAAGUAUGCGGAAUGCGUGGUGUAGCGGUGAAAUGCAUAGAUAUCACGCAGAACUCCGAUUGCGAAGGCAGCAUACCGGCGCCCAACUGACGCUCAGGCACGAAAGCGUGGGUAUCGAACAGG